UCGAGAGUUUGAUCCUGGCUCAGAUUGAACGCUGGCGGAAUGCUUUACACAUGCAAGUCGAACGGUAGAGGGGGCAACCUCUCGAGAGUGGCGAACGGGUGAGAAAUAUAUCGGAACGUGCCCAGUCGUGGGGGAUAACGUAGUGAAAAUUACGCUAAUACCGCAUACGAUCUAAGGAUGAAAGCGGGGGAUCGCAAGACCUCGCGCGAUUGGAGCGGCCGAUAUCAGAUUAGGUAGUUGGUGAGGUAAAGGCUCACCAAGCCAACGAUCUGUAGCUGGUCUGAGAGGACGACCAGCCACACUGGAACUGAGACACGGUCCAGACUCUACGGGGAGCAGCAGUGGGGAAUAUUGCACAAUGGGGCGCAAGCCUGAUGCAGCAACG
RNAcentral lists this ribosomal RNA (385 nucleotides) under uncultured Limnohabitans sp. RNAcentral describes it as "bacterial SSU rRNA". It matches the Rfam family "Bacterial small subunit ribosomal RNA", at positions 1 to 396 of the family's 1533-position model. Lineage: Bacteria; Pseudomonadati; Pseudomonadota; Betaproteobacteria; Burkholderiales; Comamonadaceae. The record is from RNAcentral.